Molecule: unclassified non-coding RNA, 209 nt
Filed under: rhizosphere metagenome
Description: partial ribosomal RNA internal transcribed spacer region
Source: RNAcentral
GUAGGUGAACCUGCGGAGGGAUCAUUGAAGAGUUAGGGCCCUCGCGGUCCGACCUCCAACCCUUUGUAUUAUCAACUCUGUUGCCUCGGGGGCGACCCAGGUGCCGUCCGCGGCGUUGGGCCCCCAGGGGACCACUAAACUCUGCGUCUCUGCGUCUGAGUACUUUUGUAAAUAAAACAAAACUUUCAACAACGGAUCUCUUGGUUCUG